RNAcentral lists this non-coding RNA (18 nucleotides) under Mus musculus (house mouse). Lineage: Eukaryota; Metazoa; Chordata; Mammalia; Rodentia; Muridae. The record is from RNAcentral.
UUACGCAGUCGUUUCUCC